UGUGAAUGGUUAAUGGGAUUAUCUGUUAGCUGCCCCUUGAACUAGAAAUAGAUGCAAAAGAUUUCCAAUCCAGCCAGUCAUGCCCCUGGCACCACCAUUCACCAUCACUUCAUGUUGGUCAGGAGUUUCUGUGUCUGUUGUGGGAGCACAUGACCGAGUAACCGGGUACAUCCCGUGGGAGUUGAAUGUUUGGAGAGUACUUUACAGUUUGGCUUCUGCGAAAAGUGUUGUGAAGGUUCUUCAUAGGCUGAAGUUUGGGGAGUGGAAGAACGUAUUUGUGGUUAAAGGAUUAACCGAGGGUUGUAUUGUGAGUUGCUUGCUGAACCAGCUGCAGAUUCUGGAAAUAAUGAGUGCUUGUAACUAAAUUUUGAGAGCCUUGGUUCAGACUGCUGAAUUGAAGAGCUCUUCCACAGCUUUAAGAUGAUAAAUUUACCACCUUUAAACUGAAUGGAGUUGCUGAGCAAGCCAAGUGCUUGUCAGGGUGGUGUCUGGUGCCUGAUGUAGGUGUGUUUUCUGUGUCAAAGACCAGGGGAGCUCCCUGCAGGGCAUCAGCUGCUCAGAGACUUGGUCACUAAUCUUGUCCCAUAGGAGAAGCCUGUAGGUUUGGUUAGGUGUCACCACCUCUAGGCAUGCAUGUGAGUUACGAGUACGGCACCCUACCCUGUGAGAAAAUACCAGCAUAAAACCCUGGUGGGGCUAGUAUAAAGAUUAAGUGGCUCUGAUUUUCACUUCUGUGCAGCAGUCAAGGCAACAGCAAAUUAAAUUGGGUCUGUAUCCCUCUUACAGAGAGACGUAAUAAACCUUUCACGGGACUGAAUCUUCUGCUGUGUUUCUGGCCAUGUUAGCAUGUUCUUGUGUAGAAGCUGUGACUAACUGAAUUAUCUACAAGCCCCCUUUGAUUAAUGCUUUUGCACGUUCAAAGUGCUGCUCCAGCAAGAUCUGUCUUCCUUCUCCCAUAAACGGAGCAAAACCAGCUGGUGUAAGUGAUGAUAAGCUAUAUCCUGUCCCCCAAGCACUUUAUACUUAUAUGUCAAAUCCGCUUCUUUGUAAGAUCAUACUAACUUCAAAAGCCCUAAAGGAAAAGAAGAAAACAAAUUGCUAAAUUGGAUUUGGAAAACAGGUUUUAGAUAGGAAUUUGCCUAGGAGGUGAGCUUCUCGGAAGGAACAACGGCAGAUUGUAUUUGACUGUUUUUAGUAUUUCCUUUGUCUUCAACUUGUGAGGCAGCCGUGGCAAACUGCUUCAUCCUUUGGUCUCCGUUUCAGCCUGAGAAGACCUAACUCAGUUUUGUCCCUUGUGGUGAUAAUAGGUUCAGAUAAUUUUUGAAGUGCUAAUUGCUUGAGCAGUACAGGAAAACUGAAGUUCCCAGUGAAAAUUAGUUUGCUUGCAGACCUUUCCAACCAAAGGGUUACUUGAGCGUGCUAUAGCCAGCUUUAGAAGUAAGUACAUUUAGUUACAGUUCAACAAUUUCUUGUCAGUAUGUCCAUAAAGGUUGGCAGGAUGCUGUCAAAUUCUAGGAGGCAGGAAAAUAUACUUGAAGAUACAAAACUGGAAAUAUUGGUCAGAACAAUUUAAACAUUAUAGUUUAAUCUCCUACUAUAUAAUGAGUGAUUGACUCGUGACUGAAGUUCCUCAAGACAUCUUUGAGGGUAUGGUGUUGUUGUGUGAUUGUAGUGUGACACCUAUUUGUAAUGGAGCAGUGGUUUCUCCAGUGCGUUAAGGAGUCAGUGUAACGUUGCAGUGCUAAUUCUUGGAGAAGUUGAUAUGCAUUUUGUGUCACCUCAGUGAUAGUAGUGGUACUCGUAGAGGUUUUUAGCAUCCUUCUUAGGUGGGAGUUUUCAGAAGAAAGCAGAAACAAUGACAAAUAUUCAAAUAGCUGAACAGCUGGUGCUAUAUUCUUCAGAUAAAGAAAAUCUGCAUAAGAAUACUGCUCUGACAUUUAUCAGCUUGGAACACGAAUGUUGGCUGGCUUUUGGUGUUUGGAUGUGUUUGGAAGAAGCACAUUUAAAGAAAUGUUUAACAUCCCAUCAUUCUAUUAACUUCUGUUGACAUUGAAGCCUUCCUUCAUAUCAUCUUCUAGGCUGAUGAUGGACAGGCUAGCAUGAGGUGCAGGGAAGGCAGAAUGAAGGUAAUACGUAGCAGGAUGUGCUACAUACGCAGAAAAGGUUUGGUUGGUUUGGCAUGUGGUGACUACAGAACAACCUCUCCUUGCAAACGAGGUUCUGUGCUAUUGGGCCUCAAGUUUUACGUGAAACUUGUUGCACAUCAAGACACUUUGUAAAUAAAACUUUAAUGUGGUUUUC
This is a long non-coding RNA of Oxyura jamaicensis (ruddy duck), 2301 nucleotides long. RefSeq lists it as uncharacterized. The record is from RefSeq and is a predicted model, not a curated record. NCBI's taxonomy places the organism in Eukaryota, Metazoa, Chordata, Aves, Anseriformes, Anatidae. The transcript is spliced from 2 exons.